Molecule: ribosomal RNA, 495 nt
Filed under: uncultured bacterium
Lineage: Bacteria
Description: bacterial SSU rRNA
Rfam family: Bacterial small subunit ribosomal RNA
Source: RNAcentral
GUUCAUGGCUCAGGAUGAACGCUGGCGGCGUGCUUAACACAUGCAAGUCGAACGGAGAUAUUGAAAGCUUGCUUUAGAUAUCUUAGUGGCGGACGGGUGAGUAACGCGUGGGUAACCUACCCUGUACAGGGGGAUAGCAGUUGGAAACGACUGAUAAAACCGCAUAAAACGGCAGUACCGCAUGGCACAACCGUCAAAUAUUCAUAGGUACAGGAUGGGCCCGCGUCUGAUUAGCUAGUUGGUGGGGCAACGGCCUACCAAGGCGACGAUCAGUAGCCGGCCUGAGAGGGUGAACGGCCACAUUGGGACUGAGGCACGGCCCAAACUCCUACGGGAGGCAGCAGUGGGGAAUAUUGGACAAUGGGGGAAAAACCCCCUGACGCAGCAACACCGCGUGAAUGUUAAGCCCUUCGGGGUGUAAAGUUCUGUCAGUAGGGAAGAACAAAUGACUGUACCUACAAAGGAAGCACCGGCUAACUCCGUGCCAGCCGCCGC